Molecule: long non-coding RNA, 527 nt
Filed under: Equus caballus (horse)
Lineage: Eukaryota; Metazoa; Chordata; Mammalia; Perissodactyla; Equidae
Description: lncRNA (ENSECAG00000029233.2)
Source: RNAcentral
AUUCAUCCUGUGGGGAGGGACCUGAGGAGUGUGACUGCAGAUGCGGAAUAGAUGUGCUAGCUCCUUCAGAGAAUCAGAGACUCUUGUAAGAAUUCCCACCUGCAACCAGUACUUGCAUCCGGAGGCAGAGGUAGAGCGAGAUGAGGCUGCCAUGAUAGCUGGAGAGACUUGCUGCCUCCUCAGGCUCCCGGCUCCACCUACCUUCUACAUGCUGAUGACUCACUCCAAAGUGUACAUCUUCUGUCCAUAAUUUCUGGGGAUCCAGUGGCGGCAACCUGCUUCUAGAGGGACCAGGAGCUUCGGGACCCCUCUGCCUUGGACCAACAGGAAAAGCAGGAAAGUCAGGGGCCAGAGAAACAUGUGAAAUGACACCAAGGAGAUGGAUGCAACUAACCAAAUCCAGAAUAUGGGCAAGAAGACCAGGCAAGGAUCCGGUUUCCUCAAUAAACCAACUGAAAAGAAAACAAAAAGGGCAGUGAUAUAGAUUAAAAGAAAUUUAAGAGACGUAUCAAACAAAUUCUUUGCUA